Molecule: transfer RNA, 62 nt
Filed under: Paratapes undulatus (undulate venus clam)
Lineage: Eukaryota; Metazoa; Mollusca; Bivalvia; Venerida; Veneridae
Description: tRNA-Lys
Source: RNAcentral
GUCUUUGUAGCUUAAGAAAAGCGGGAAGCUUUUAACUUCUUGAUGCAUGUGUGCCGGGGGCU